This 24-nucleotide non-coding RNA is filed under the name Cricetulus griseus (Chinese hamster). The record is from RNAcentral. Lineage: Eukaryota; Metazoa; Chordata; Mammalia; Rodentia; Cricetidae.
UAGUUGUGAACUGUGUAGUGGAGU